AUUUCAGUUACGAAACAAGAAAUUUCACUGUCCUCGAGUUUUUCCAGCGGCGCGAGUUUUUCGUUCAUCCAGGGUCGUGGAAGAAAAAAAGCAACGGGAAAGCAAGAGAGUAUGAAUGUGUCGUUUCUCCCCUCUCACGAGCGAUACAUAUACGACGUGUUGCCGAUGAUAUAUGAAAGAACACGUGUCACCAGGUACUCAGUACACCCACGCGAGUCGUUAUCGUUAAUUCGUUACAUUUUCAAGAGAUUUCUGAAUGAAAGUUUGGUGUUUCACUUGAUUUUAAUAUCGUGUUGAAUUCGAAUAAUACUAUACAUAUAUAUAUAUUCAUAUAUAUAUAGUAGUAAUAGAACAGGAGCUUUUUGGACAAGAAUGGAUCAGAAAAAUGAAGUCAAAGGAUACAAUGGGAAAAUUAAUCACGAAACGAAUUAAGGAAUAAACAAUAUUUGAUAUACGGUUUUGGUCCCAGCUUUCUCCCGCAACGCUUAACCGGCAUACUCUAUCGUCA
Bombus terrestris (buff-tailed bumblebee) is the source of this 508-nucleotide long non-coding RNA. RefSeq lists it as uncharacterized. The transcript is spliced from 2 exons. The record is from RefSeq and is a predicted model, not a curated record. Lineage: Eukaryota; Metazoa; Arthropoda; Insecta; Hymenoptera; Apidae.